GUCACGUGACGCGCGAGGCGGGGGAUGAUGGGAGCGGCGGGCAGGCGGCCGGGCCCCUCCUCGACCCCCGCCGCGGGACUGGAGCCCGGAGGAGCCUGUGCAAGGAAGGCCCGAGAGGGACGGGGAAGGCUGGCACGAGGGGGGACGGAUGGGCCUUCAGAUGCUGCGAAGGGGAGCCUGUGGGAGGACGAUUAAGGCUUGCACUGCGUGGCCUCAAGAGGGGCAGAAAUAGCAUUGGUGGGCGGGAACUGCGAGAGCUGAUUAAGGAAUACUUCAAGCAACUGCUUGGCGAGGCACCUGCCAGUGUAACAGUAUAAACCCAAAAGGAUGAAAGAAGAGGAGACAACAGCAACAAAGUUAGAAGUUGGAAAGCAGACGGACGAGCAGUAAAUAACAUGGCAGACCCAAGAAAACUGAAUCCUGAGUCAACAGUAGGAAAAGUGAAACAAGCAACCCAGUUUACAUCACAGAAUCCCUAAAAGGCCCAGGAUUUGGUGGUUUCAUGUACCGUAUUUGCCGGCAUAUAAGACGACCCCCUAACAUUUCCACUCAAAAUACAGUUUGUUAUAUGGUCGGCUGU
Molecule: long non-coding RNA, 580 nt
Organism: Hipposideros armiger (great roundleaf bat)
Lineage: Eukaryota; Metazoa; Chordata; Mammalia; Chiroptera; Hipposideridae
Exons: 3
Source: RefSeq, a predicted model, not a curated record